UGGGGAAUAUUGGACAAUGGGCGAAAGCCUGAUCCAGCCAUGCCGCGUGUGUGAAGAAGGCCUUCGGGUUGUAAAGCACUUUUGUCCGGAAAGAAAACCGCUUCUCUAAUACAGAGGUGGGAUGACGGUACCGGAAGAAUAAGCACCGGCUAACUCCGUG
RNAcentral lists this ribosomal RNA (160 nucleotides) under uncultured bacterium. RNAcentral's name for it is "partial 16S ribosomal RNA". It matches the Rfam family "Bacterial small subunit ribosomal RNA", at positions 355 to 507 of the family's 1533-position model. The record is from RNAcentral.